Molecule: ribosomal RNA, 253 nt
Filed under: uncultured bacterium
Lineage: Bacteria
Description: partial 16S ribosomal RNA
Rfam family: Bacterial small subunit ribosomal RNA
Source: RNAcentral
UACGAAGGGGGCUAGCGGUGUUCGGAAUCAAUGGGCGUAAAGAGCACGCAGGCGGAUCGAUAAGUCGGGGGUGAAAGCCCGGGGCUCAACCUCGGAAUUGCCUUCGAUACUGUCGGUCUCGAGUCCGGGAGAGGUGAGUGGAAUUCCUAGUGUAGAGGUGAAAUUCGUAGAUAUUAGGAAGAACACCAGUGGCGAAGGCGGCUCACUGGCCCGGUACUGACGCUCAGGUGCGAAAGCGUGGGGAGCAAACAGG